RNAcentral lists this ribosomal RNA (354 nucleotides) under Triticum aestivum (bread wheat). RNAcentral describes it as "partial small subunit ribosomal RNA". The record is from RNAcentral. Lineage: Eukaryota; Viridiplantae; Streptophyta; Magnoliopsida; Poales; Poaceae.
AUGCAGCCGGCUUACGCUGUCUCCGCCGACGGGCUGAUUCGCCUCAUCUCUGUUUUGAGCCAUCGGACUCCAACUCCGAGGGGCCUCCGCUCCGACCUGUUCCAACUCGGCCUCGCUCUGGCCUGCCCUCAACCACUGGCCCACGUGCCUCCCCCGCGGCCUCCGGCUCACGCGCCGUGCGACCCACGUUCAGCUGCCGUUUCCAUCGUGGCCUCGAGCGACCACUUCUUCCGAAACCUUGCUCCACCAGGGGCCGCCACAGUUCUUUUCGGCCUCCAUGCUGUGAACCACUGCUGCGCGGUGAGUGUACAGGGGAGAGCCGUCCGCACCGUGAGCUGCCCUCACCGCCGCUGA